RNAcentral lists this ribosomal RNA (497 nucleotides) under uncultured bacterium. RNAcentral describes it as "partial 16S ribosomal RNA". It matches the Rfam family "Bacterial small subunit ribosomal RNA", at positions 28 to 507 of the family's 1533-position model. The record is from RNAcentral.
GAUGAACGCUGGCGGCGUGCCUAAUACAUGCAAGUCGAGCGAACAGACGAGGAGCUUGCUCCUCUGACGUUAGCGGCGGACGGGUGAGUAACACGUGGAUAACCUACCUAUAAGACUGGGAUAACUUCGGGAAACCGGAGCUAAUACCGGAUAAUAUAUUGAACCGCAUGGUUCAAUAGUGAAAGACGGUUUUGCUGUCACUUAUAGAUGGAUCCGCGCCGCAUUAGCUAGUUGGUAAGGUAACGGCUUACCAAGGCAACGAUGCGUAGCCGACCUGAGAGGGGGAUCGGCCACACUGGAACUGAGACCACGGCCAGACCCCCAAGGGAGGCAAGAGGUGGGAAUCUUCCGCAAUGGGCGAAAGCUUGACGGAGCAACGCCGCGUGAGUGAUGAAGGUCUUCGGAUCGUAAAACUCUGUUAUUAGGGAAGAACAAAUGUGUAAGUAACUAUGCACGUCUUGACGGUACCUAAUCAGAAAGCCACGGCUAACUACGUG